Molecule: ribosomal RNA, 821 nt
Rfam family: Bacterial small subunit ribosomal RNA
GUCGAGCGGACAGAAGGGAGCUUGCUCCCGGAAGUCAGCGGCGGACGGGUGAGUAACACGUAGGUAACCUGCCCCUUAGACUGGGAUAACUCCGGGAAACCGGAGCUAAUACGGGAUAAUAAAGAGAAUCACCUGAUUCUCUUUUGAAAGACGGUUUCGGCUGUCACUAAGGGAUGGGCCUGCGGCGCAUUAGCUAGUUGGUAAGGUAACGGCUUACCAAGGCGACGAUGCGUAGCCGACCUGAGAGGGUGAUCGGCCACACUGGGACUGAGACACGGCCCAGACUCCUACGGGAGGCAGCAGUAGGGAAUCUUCCGCAAUGGACGAAAGUCUGACGGAGCAACGCCGCGUGAGUGAGGAAGGCCUUCGGGUCGUAAAGCUCUGUUGUGAGGGAAGAACAAGUACCGGCGUAACUACCGGUACCUUGACGGUACCUCACCAGAAAGCCACGGCUAACUACGUGCCAGCAGCCGCGGUAAUACGUAGGUGGCAAGCGUUGUCCGGAAUUAUUGGGCGUAAAGCGCGCGCAGGCGGCUUCUUAAGUCUGAUGUGAAAUCUCGGGGCUCAACCCCGAGCGGCCAUUGGAAACUGGGAAGCUUGAGUGCAGAAGAGGAGAGUGGAAUUCCACGUGUAGCGGUGAAAUGCGUAGAUAUGUGGAGGAACACCAGUGGCGAAGGCGACUCUCUGGUCUGUAACUGACGCUGAGGCGCGAAAGCGUGGGGAGCAAACAGGAUUAGAUACCCUGGUAGUCCACGCCGUAAACGAUGAGUGCUAGGUGGUUAGGGGUUUCGAUGCCCGUAGUGCCGAAGUAAACACAUUAA